This is a long non-coding RNA of Notothenia coriiceps (black rockcod), 666 nucleotides long. RefSeq lists it as uncharacterized. The transcript has 3 exons. The record is from RefSeq and is a predicted model, not a curated record. NCBI's taxonomy places the organism in Eukaryota, Metazoa, Chordata, Actinopteri, Perciformes, Nototheniidae.
AGCAUCUGUGACUGUCAUGUUGUUUAGGUUUUUUAACUGAAUUAUUGUUUUUCAGGCCGGAGGUUUGUUCUUCUGAUAGCAGUGUGUUGGUGGCUCAUACUGUUAGCCAUCAUGGGUCUCCGUAUCUACUUGACCUCUAAACUUUCAGGAAACAAUACCGAGCUGUACUCACGAAUCAAGGAGCUGGAGACCCAGAAUAACAACUUGAAACAGCAAAUACAAGACAUGACACCAAAAAGGAUUGAGUUCAACGGAUUUGCGUGAAUGGAAGUGAUCUGACUGAUAGCUCCUUUAAUGCAGAGGCUGUUGACGGUCGCUGUGCAAUCUCUGUCGUGAGAGAAAACAAUUGGGUAUCAGUGAGCUGUGGUGACCACAAACGAUGGAUCUGCCAGAAGAAGGCUUUAUCUCUAUCUUUUAAACAGCCAUACUCCGAAAGUUACUGGUAACUCUUUGAUUGAAGAAAAUGAAAUACAUUACAGGCCUAUAAAUGUCAAACUAUGGAUUGUCCUACUUAAAGGUGGGGUAUGUAAUUUAUUUCAGAUACACUUUUUGUUAUAUUCCAUGGAAUGCUCUUAACUUCCCAAUAGCAAUGUAAUAGCUGUAAAAAGCACGACCAAUCAUUUCCGGCUAAAGUAACUGGAUGGCCUACCUGCCUGUCAGCCUUCC